RNAcentral lists this ribosomal RNA (496 nucleotides) under uncultured bacterium. RNAcentral describes it as "partial 16S ribosomal RNA". It matches the Rfam family "Bacterial small subunit ribosomal RNA", at positions 34 to 507 of the family's 1533-position model. The record is from RNAcentral.
CGCUGGCGGCGUGCCUAACACAUGCAAGUCGCACGUGAAAGGGAGCAAUCCCAAGUAAAGUGGCGUACGGGUGAGUAACACGUAGGUAAUCUACCCCAGAAUCUGGAAUAACCGGCCGAAAGGCUGGCUAAUACUGGAUAGAGCGACGGAAUCCGUAAUUGGGUUUUUCGGGAAAGGGAGCCUGUAAAAAGGCCUUCGUUCUGGGAUGAGCCUGCGUCCCAUCAGCUAGUUGGUGAGGUAAAAGCUUACCAAGGCAAUGACGGGUAGCUGGUCUGAGAGGGCGAUCCGCCACACUGGAACUGAAACACGGUCCAGACUCCUACGGGAGGCAGCAGUGGGGAAUCUUGCGCAAUGGACGAAAGUCUGACGCAGCAACGCCGCGUGAGUGAAGAAGGCCUUCGGGUUGUAAAGCUCUGUCGAGUGGGACGAAAAUGCUUGGAGUUCACAGCUCCAGGAACUGACGGUACCACUAAAGGAAGCACCGGCUAACUCCGUG